RNAcentral lists this transfer RNA (76 nucleotides) under Candidatus Acetothermia bacterium. Its description in RNAcentral is "tRNA-Ala". It matches the Rfam family "tRNA". Rfam says of the family: Transfer RNA (tRNA) molecules are approximately 80 nucleotides in length. Their secondary structure includes four short double-helical elements and three loops (D, anti-codon, and T loops). Further hydrogen bonds mediate the characteristic L-shaped molecular structure. tRNAs have two regions of fundamental functional importance: the anti-codon, which is responsible for specific mRNA codon recognition, and the 3' end, to which the tRNAs corresponding amino acid is attached (by aminoacyl-tRNA synthetases). tRNAs cope with the degeneracy of the genetic code in two manners: having more than one tRNA (with a specific anti-codon) for a particular amino acid; and 'wobble' base-pairing, i.e. permitting non-standard base-pairing at the 3rd anti-codon position. Lineage: Bacteria; Candidatus Bipolaricaulota. The record is from RNAcentral.
GGGGAUGUAGCUCAGCUGGGAGAGCGCUGCCUUUGCAAGGCAGAAGUCACGGGUUCGAGUCCCGUCAUCUCCACCU